UACGUAGGUGGCAAGCGUUGUUCGGAAUUAUUGGGCGUAAAGGGCGCGUAGGCGGUUUGUUAAGUCGGCUGUGAAAGCCCGGGGCUCAACCCCGGAGGGUCAGCCGAUACUGGCAGACUAGAGUACGGAAGAGGUAGCUGGAAUUCCCGGUGUAGCGGUGAAAUGCGUAGAUAUCAGGAGGAACACCUGUGGUGUAGACAGCUUUCUGGACCAUAGCUGACGCUGAGACACGAAAGCGUGGGUAGCAAACAGG
RNAcentral lists this ribosomal RNA (253 nucleotides) under uncultured bacterium. RNAcentral's name for it is "partial 16S ribosomal RNA". It matches the Rfam family "Bacterial small subunit ribosomal RNA", at positions 524 to 776 of the family's 1533-position model. The record is from RNAcentral.